ACACAAUCUGCGUUCUGUGAUUUCUAUGUGUCUUUAAAACCAGGAGCUGCCAUUGCUUCAGUGAGCUGUUCUGGUUUUCUUAUUUCCUCUCUUCGGUGCCAAUGAGAGUUAAAUAUGAAGCAGUCGCACUGUAGUUACAAAGAUGGAUGAAGGAAAACUGGACCCAAUCUCAUGAUCUCUGCUAAUGACACUGUUUCCAGGAUCUUCCAAGGUUCCUCAGUGGUUAGGAGCUGACCUCGUGUGGUGGAAAGCUGAGAAGCAGCCAAGUGACCAACCAGUCAAGCAGUUGGAAGAAAGGAAUCAAUGACUGAUGAAAACACUCCCUGCAACUUUUGAUAUUUCAUUUAGGCAAGGAACCAGCGAGACUGUGGUCUACAAAUUGCUCUGUAGAAACUGAAACAAUGUACGCUUUGUGCCCCUUUUGAAAUUUAACAAUGAUGAUUGUAAUAAUAGAGUGUCUGUGCAUUAAUAGAAGCUUGGGAGGGGAAGGCCAGUGACCUCAUGCAAAUUGGUAACUUGUGUUUGUUUUAAGUAGUGGCUGGAGGUCCGUGGGGAAGGAAGAGUGAGGAGGAGACUGAAUGUCUGAUAAAAUGAGGAUUGAACUUGUUCUCUGGUUAAAAGGAGA
Lepisosteus oculatus (spotted gar) is the source of this 625-nucleotide non-coding RNA. NCBI's taxonomy places the organism in Eukaryota, Metazoa, Chordata, Actinopteri, Semionotiformes, Lepisosteidae. The record is from RefSeq and is a predicted model, not a curated record.